RNAcentral lists this long non-coding RNA (1443 nucleotides) under Oryctolagus cuniculus (rabbit). RNAcentral describes it as "lncRNA (ENSOCUG00000032328.1)". Lineage: Eukaryota; Metazoa; Chordata; Mammalia; Lagomorpha; Leporidae. The record is from RNAcentral.
UAUAAAAAGUUUUAAUUAAAAGGAUAUAUUUUGCAUGUCAAAAACUUAUAGCUACCAUGGUUUAGGACAAUUUAGCUAAUAAAAAAGUCUCAGUUUCUCAUAGUCAGAAGCUGAUUCUACCUGAUAUCAAUACAGUAUUUUCGACUGUAAAAACUGCUGAAGAGAACACUCCUAGGCAACCCCAGCCAAUUCUAUUCAAGGUCAUCUGACUAAAUGCAAGCCUUGUCAGCUCAAGUGAAGUUUAUCAGAUGGAAUUCCUGGAGCAUCCUGCACUAACAAAAUGUAUUACUAAACUUUCAAUGUUAAAAAAAAAAUCCCAAUCUUCAUUAGAUGACACCUGCAUGAAAACUAUGGACAAAACAUGGGAUCAAGAGCUGAAGUCAGCAGGAAGGGAGGCGAGACACAAACAAGAGAAUUGCAAAAGCAAAAGACCAUGUCUAUGAGCAUCCACUUUUCCAUGGGCCCUUGGAUGUAUUCUCAAGACAGAUUGUGCGGUCACACAGCUGUUGCAGCCCCUUGCUCUGAAGAGUAGCAAGUCUCAGCAGAUCACAGAUCUUAACCCCAUGACAGGCCAACCUAUUUAUGCUGGCUGCUAAUAAUGACUUGUGUUUAUAAUGGUGCUAUUCAUCCCAGAAGCUUGCUCACAGCACUCCACUGACCACAUGGGUGCUCUUUAUUCGGGCCUAUGUCUAUGUACACCCACAUAUCACAAGUGUACAAAGGUCUUGACUGCUGUGGCUUUAAUCAGCCCUUUCUUCCUUUUACUUAGCUUCAGGGCCUGAUCCCUGGGAUUAGGGAAACCAGUGCACCCUCCUCUUUAUCACUGGAAAAAACCAGAAUUGAACAAUUGGGAGUCCAGCUCCCUAUUCACUUUGUUGCUUAUUAGGGUCUCUGUGUAUCAGCCGUGAUGCUGCAAAGCAAGUUGAGAGAGGCCUUGUGCAAUACAUAUUUAAUAGUGGGAACUCUCCUCCCAUUUUAUCUCUUCCCCUUCUCUCCUUCCAUUUAAUGAACCAAUUAUUCUGACAAGGAGGAGAAUGCUCUCUUCCUAGCUCCCUCUCACUUUGAGCCUUUAUUCCCUGCUUCUCUAAAGUGCUGCCUAAUUUGGCAUAAGACCCUAUUGUAGGUUAUUUUUACAUUCACCAUGAAUUGUGUAAAAUUGUUUCAGCACUUUGGAAAUUUUUCUUUUAAAGCAGGAGAUAUUAUUUUAGCCAUGAAUGACAGAUAAAAUGUGAUGGUAAGAGAUUGUCCAAACUUGCAUACUCUCAAUUGCAUUCAUUUUAUUUAAUAUUACAAGUUUGUUUUCUAUAACAGAUCAAACAAAAAAAAAGAGAGAACAUAGAAAUGGAUUCCAACUUCUGUUUUUGAUGAAAUGAUUAAAAUGCAGCAGAUCUAGGGUUUUUACUGAAGAUUUUGUAGUUAUUCAUUAUUCAUGAUGAUGCAUGA